UCACCGAAAACAUUUCGCAAUACCAUCAUCUCCUCCACCGAGCAAAGGUUGUGCUUCAUCAUUUCCAUUCUAAGUGCCCAUUGGAACGGUUCCACAUCCACGGAGAGAGCGAGACCGCCGGACGGAGUCCAGCCGGGAGCUGCUGGAGAAAAAGAUUGAUCCAUUAGGCAUUGGGCGAUAGGAUCUGGAGUUUUGUUUUAUUCGUCGUUUUUUCGGUGUUAUCUAAAAAGUGGUAUAAUUUGUUUUGGGUUUUAUUUUUCGCGAAAAAAAUUAUUUGAAAAACCGUCCUAGGCCUACUGCGCGAUGUCCUAUAAUGGAUACUUGCCCGUUGUGUGGUGGUGGUCGUUGUUGUUGUAGUGUUAGUGUGUAAACUGUCGAGCAAGUCGAGAAAUUGCGUUGUUUGAUUUGAUCAAAAAAAAAAUCGAAUCGAACCCAAAAUAAAUCGGAAUAAAAAACGUUAAGCCAAAAUUGGAGUAGUUCUCCAAAUUUGAAAUUAAAAUAGUCAUAUGAAUUAAGUGCUCAAACAGGAUCAGAAAAACUAAAAGAAAACACGUAAUACAAGAUAAUGCGCAGUACGUUUUCAUCCCAGUCAUCAUCGAACAGCUGUGGUGCAGCAAAAAAAAAACAAACGAAUGAAAGUUCUGGAAUAAACGUAGAAUUCGCCGCGCGUGGCGAUCGGUACGAAAAUAUUAACUUUGUUCGAUCGGUUCCUCCAAAAAAACGAAAAAAAAGAAAUGAAAACGUCACUUUUCCCCAUCGUAUCGAUCAUUAAUUACUAAUCAUCGGUCAGCGAAUAAUCAAUUCUGCUCCAUCAUCCAGGAAUGGCAAGUGUUAGUGCGACGAAAAAAUUCCCGAAUCCGAGAGAGAGAACUUGCAUCGAUUCACUGCAACUCAAACGAACGUCAUCCAAGCAGGCUGUUUCUGCUGCUGCUUCGGCAAAAUACCUUGAACUUUUUGCAAUAUGGAUGAAAAAAAACGGGCUAUGCACAAACGUCGAAGUGAGAAAGAAAUAAAAAAAAAACAGAACAUUUAUUUUGAACUUGAACUUGAACGCCAUACAACCAUACCGACACACGCAUACCGACACUCUCUGCAACAAACAACAACAACAACAAGGUAAGUCCCAAAUCGAUAAUGUGUUUUGACUGCUGUUGUGUGCGCUGCACUUGCAAAUGUGAGAACCUGAUAACGAUGAUGAUGAUGAUGAUGAUGGUGAGUGUGCUGAUCGUGAGUGGUUGAGUGCCUGAGUGAAGCUCACUCGGGAAUCGAUGACAGUUGGGUUCGCUUCCGCUUCAAUCGGUGCUGCUCACGCCCACUCGGAGGUGUGCUGCGAGAAAAAAAUAGGAAAAUUCAAUUGAUCGAUCGCAGCUAGGUACGGUUGAUGAGUUGAAAAUGUAGUUUGUUUAGUUUGUUAGUGACAGGUUUUUUUUUCAAAUUAGGAAAAGUGACACAUCUCGUUCUGGUUUAUUGAAGAGACACGCAUCUUUAUUAAUGUUAUUAAUCAUGAAAACCUGAGAAGUGACAAUCUUUUUUUAUUCGUAUCCUUUAUUUAGAUCCGGCUUUAACCAAUUAUGGUCGUUCGCCGGGAAAAUGCAAAUCUUAUGAAAGAAGCUUAACAAAAUCGAGAAUCAAUUUUCCAUUACUAGAACGUGUUUCAACAGGAAAAUUUUUACAUAAAAUAUCCAGUAAUUUUCUGUAAGAAUAUCCAAGCUUGCAGAAAAUCACUUCAUAAGUCUGUUUUUUUUUAAUAAUUUUCAAAAUGCUUCAGAUUGGUAAUGUAGAACAUGGCUUUUUUCCGGAUUUCCGAAGAUAUGAGUUUUUUUAUGCGAAUUCUCUAAGUUGUGCAUCUCUUUUUGCGAAUUUAUGAAGAUAUGCAGUUUUUCAAUGCUGAUUCUCGAAGUUAUGCGGCGAAAACUAGAAACAGAAACUAGAAAUAGAAACUAGAAACAGAAACUAGAAACAGAAACUAGAAACAGAAACUAGAAACAGAAACUAGAAACUAGAAACAGAAACUAGAAACAGAAACUAGAAACAGAAACUAGAAACAGAAACUAGAAACAGAAACUAGAAACAGAAACUAGAAACAGAAAUUAGAAACAGAAACUAGAAACAGAAACUAGAAACAGAAACUAGAAACAGAAACUAGAAACAGAAACUAGAAACAGAACCUAGAAACAGAACCUAGAAACAGAAACUAGAAACAGAAACUAGAAACAGAAACUAGAAACAGAAACUAGAAACAGAAACUAGAAACAGAAACUAGAAACAGAAACUAGAAACAGAAACUAGAAACAGAAACUAGAAACAGAAACUAGAAACAGAAAUUAGAAACAGAAACUAGAAACAGAAACUAGAAACAGAAACUAGAAACAGUAACUAGAAACAGAAACUAGAAACAGAAACUAGAAACAGAAACUAGAAACAGAAACUAGAAACAGAAACUAGAAACAGAACCUAGAAACAGAACCUAGAAACAGAAACUAGAAACAGAAACUAGAAACGGAAACUAGAAACAGAAACUAGAAACAGAAACUAGAAACAGAAACUAGAAACAGAAACUAGAAACAGAAACUAGAAACGGAAACUAGAAACAGAAACUAGAAACAGAAACUAGAAACAGAAACUAGAAACAGAAACUAGAAACAAACACUAGAAACAGAAACUAGAAACAAACACUAGAAACAGAAACUAGAAACAGAAACUAGAAGCAGAAACAGAAACUAGAAACUAGAAGCAGAAACUAGAAACAAAAACUAGAAACAGAAACUAGAAACAGAAACUAGAAACAGAAACUAGAAACAGAAACUGGAAACAGAAACUAGAAACAGAAACUAGAAACAGAAACUAGAAACAGAAACUAGUAACAGAAACUAAAAACCGAAACUAGAAACCGAAACUAGAAACAGAAACUAGAAACAGAACCUAGAAACAGAAACUAGAAACAGAAACUAGAAACAGAAACUAGAAACAGAAACUAGAAACAGAAACUAGAAACAGAAACUAGAAACAGAAACUAGAAACAGAAACUAGAAACAGAAACUAGAAACAGAAACUAGAAACAGAAACUAGAAACAGAAACUAGUAACAGAAACUAGAAACAGAAACUAGAAACAGAACCUAGAAACAGAAACUAGAAACAGAAACUAGAAACAGAAACUAGAAACAGAAACUAGAAAUAGAAACUAGAAACAGAAACUAGAAACAGAAACUAGAAACAGAAACUAGAAACAGAAACUAGAAACAGAAACUAGAAACAGAAACUAGAAACAGAAACUAGAAACAGAAACAGAAACAGAAACUAGAAACAGAAACAAGAAAAAGAAUCAAGAAACAGAAACAAGAAACGAAAAAUAAGAAAUAAGAAAACAGAAAUAAGAAUCAAGAAUCAAGAACCAAGAAUCAAGAAUCAAGUAUUAUGAAUUAUUAUGAAUUAUGAAUUAUGAAUUAUGAAUUAUGAAUUAUGAAUUAUGAAUUAUGAAUUAUGAAUUAUGAAUUAUGAAUUAUGAAUUAUGAAUUAUGAAUUAUGAAUUAUGAAUUAUGAAUUAUGAAUUAUGAAUUAUGAAUUAUGAAUUAUGAAUUGAGAAUAGAGAAUUAAGAAUUGAGAAUUAAAAAUUUAAAAUUAAGAAUUAAGAAGAAGGGUUUUGAAUUAAGAACUAAGAACUAAGAAACAUUGAACAAAAAAACAAGAAACAGAAACUGAAAACAGGAACCUAAUACAUAAAAUAUAAAUACGAAGUUGAGACAAAACCUAGAAACAGGAACUAAAACAUAAACUAGAAAAAAACUAGGAAUAGAAAUAGACACUAGAACCAGAAACUAGAAACAGAAACUAAAAACAGGAACAUUAACAUAAACUAGACAAAUAAUCUUGAAACUAGAAAUUGAAAUAACAAACCUAAAAUGGAUACUAGAAACCGUAACAGAAACUGAAAAGAAAAAUUAAGAACAAUAACUAAAAACAAGGGAAAAAAUAUAUUACUAACUAAAAAUGGAAACUGAAAACAGAAAUUAGAAACAAGAACUAGAGACAGAAACUGAAAUCAGGAACUAAAAAAAGAAACUUACAACAGAAACUGAAAAAAGGAACUAAUAACAUAAACUAGAAACAAAGAUUAGAAUCAGAAACUUGAAACGAAAACUAGAAGUUGCAAUAAAAAACUUAAAACGGCAACUGGAAACAAAAACAGAAAUUAUUAACAGAAAUCAAACAGAUACUUAAAACUAAAAAUGAUAACUAAACACGAAAAUUAACAAAAACUAAAAACUGUAACAAGAAACCAAAUACAGAAACUUUAAACAGAGACUAGAAGCAAAAACUCGAAACGAAAACUAGAAACAGAAACUAGAAGUUGGACUAAAAUCAGAAACUAAAAACAAAGACUGGAAACAGAAAUCAGAAACUCAAACAGAAACGGAAGCCAGAUGCUAAAAACCAAAAAUGGUAACUGAAAACAGAAAUUAGAAAAAAAAAGAUUCCUAAACAAGAAACCAGAAACAGAAACUAGAGACAGAAAUUGAAAACAGGCAAAAAAGGCACUCAUAACAUAUACUAGAAAUAGAAACUAGAACGAGACACUAUAAACAGAAAUUGGAAAUAAAAUCAGAAAAGGAAAACAGAUACUAAAAAUAAAAAACAGCAACUUAAAAUUAAAAUUUGAAACAAUAUACCGAAAUAAUAAACUGAAACAAGAAACUAGAAAAUGAAACUCCGAAACAGAGACUAGAGACAGAUACCAGAAAUAAAUAAAAAUCAAAAGCAAGAAACAGAAGUACGAUGAACAAAUUAGAACUAAAAACUAGAAAUGGUAACCGGAGACAGAAACUAAGAUAGGAACUAAAAUCGAACUUAGUUAGAGAUAUCAGAUAAGGAAACUAGAAAGCAGAUAUCGAAACGCGAAACAGAAACGUAUUUAGUAUUUACAAUUAAUCAUUCGUUUUCAUUGAAGCUCUGUUAGACGGAAAAUCAUACGUUUCUCGGUUCUAGUGUUAUGCACAAUGCGUUACCUUUUGAUAGAACUUUAAUGGAGACGAAUGAUUGAAUGUUAGUUGUUUUAGAAAAAAACUCAUAAAUUUUGGUUUUUCACAUUAAACAAAAAAUGUAACCAAAACAAUUUAACGUGUCGAAAAGUGGUUUUAUUCAUUACUAAACCAUCGAGAGUGGUACCAAAAUCGAAAGUUUCAAAAAAUUGCCCUUCUUGUUUGCACAAACGAACAACUUGUUGUUACAUGUUUGUACCAGAAAAGUUACAUAAACCAAACCAACUGGAAAAAAAAAGGUUGCACAAUCAAUCGGAAGAAACGGAAUAACACAGCAACCGCUGGCAGAGCAGUAUUGAUUCUCACACAGGCUCACAGGCUGCUCUGUAUCUGUAGCAGUCCCUUAUCGUUAUGUAAUUUUCCAUUACAAGAUUAUGCAGCCGCGGCGGUGGCGGCGGUACAUAUGUGGUGAUGCGGAGGGUGCGAUUGUUUCCAAUCAAUCCUGCACAUACGUCAGUCAGUCAGUCAGUCAGUCAGCGCAGUGACAACUACCCAGAGAAGCCAGAUCUGCAGAUUUGUCUGUAAAUUUGAAAAUUUCGUGCAUAGUGCUGCACACAUACAUAGCUCUUGCAGACUUUUGAAAAUUGAGCUUUUCACAGACUUUCGUGAAAAUUUACAGACUUUUGAAAUUGUCAAAUCGCCAAAUCAGUUAUUGUAUCAUACUUCAUAGAGGAAUGGCUGCCAGCCAUUUAUUGGAUAUAUAAACUUUUCCAACCCAGUCUAAAGAUUUUUGAAAUUUUUACCUGGCAUCUCUGCAACUACCGACCGACAGCGAUAGAGAUAGAGAGCGGGCAAGCGAGCGAGCGCGAAAGCGCGGAAUGGAAGGGAUGAAAGAGAGAAAAUAAAACACAUCAUCGAGGCCAAGUGCCACCACUGUCACGUGCCACCAACCGUUUUCAAAACGUGACUCUCAUCAUUUAGCUUGCUGAGCUCCCGAGCUUAGUACAUGUAUUAGAAGAAAACAAACAAACAAACAUGUCAAUUUUUUGUUUCACUCAACAGCAGCCUCUGUGCUUACGGCUUGCAUAACGCCGCAACCACCGAUCAUCAUCGAUUCUCUGAGUGAGUGAGUGAGUGAAUGAGUGAAGUGAGUGAAUGUGGUUGUCGUCUACCAGCAAAUGAAUUUUCGAACCGAUCGGUUCGUGUCUUGGCUAACUGUUAUACCGAAAGCAUUCUCCCCGUCAACAGUCAACAAUCCAACCAAGCAACCAGGGAAAGAUUUUCGGCUACCGGGAUACACCCUGUGCUCGCUUUGUAUUCGCUAUUAGUGAACACAGCUGGUGGUAUCUCAGUGGCCCUAAUCCGAUUGCAACGGUGAAAAAACAGAAAAUGCAGGCGGGGAGCGAGAGGGCUCAUAAAUGUUUUAGUUUGAAAGAAAGCUUUCCGUUUCGACCACCGAUUGGCUGGCGGUGGAAAAAGAGUGACGAAAGCGCUCUUCGCUUGUUGUUGGUGAUGAUCGAUUUUAUAGCACGUAGUCACAAAGUACCCCGAGGCUCCAUCCGAAAUGCGUUUUCUCGUCCCUUUUUAUUUUUACUGUCAUUGUGCAUUUAACAUUCAAGUAAAAAAAAUGAUAUGGCAUUAAUAUUUUGCACCUCUCCUGUUGGAACCACGCCAAAAACUGACUACUUGGAUGACGAUUCUGACGUGCGAAUCCCACCUUGUUUUUUUUUUUGUUGGCACCUCUGAAAGUUGCAAUGCAACAUUGUUUUUUAAUUAAAAUAAAUCUAUGUUCAAUUUAAAUAGCAUCCGUUUAUUUUACUUUAAAAGCUAUAUACAAACAAAAAAUCACAAAUAUCGAGCCCCACUGACAACCUGAACCUGCAGGUACUGUCGGAUGCGUCGGAUUCUUUUGACGAAUCGAGUCCGGAUUUGGUUCGACAGUCGUUCCAUCAUACUUCCGCCCAUUCAACUGGCUGCUAAGGGAACCUCCGAGAAGGACAACAGCCGGGACUUGACAAUAACUGUGAAUUGAGCGAUCGAUUCCUUGAUCACCUUGGCGGUUAAAAAAGAAGAAAAAGUCACGUAAGCUCGAUCCCGCUAAAAUUAGGUCCCUUUCGUCCGAUCGUCCUCCGAUGUCAUUUCUUGAUUCGGGUUGACAAAAAAAGAAGAAAAAAAAAUACCCACCCCAAUUCAAACUGCACAUCCUAGUUUUGUAAUGUUAAUUUAGUUUUAUUUUUAAAACACUUUCGUCAAUUGGUCCCUUUCGUUUGCGCACUCGUUUUUUAUUUCGACUUGGCACCGGUGUAGCAGUCGAAUAAAUCAACCGAAUUCCAACCUCGAAACAUCUUAACCUUUCUGACUUGCAUCAGUUCUCUGCACUCGUGAAAUCAAUCUAGUGAAAAUCGAACUGAUCAUAGUUUUUUUAUAUCCGUUUUGUUGUUGUUGUUGCUAACAGCUGUCAAUUACAAUACCAACUAUCGACCCGACCGAUCAAAAGUAGAC
Malaya genurostris is the source of this 7479-nucleotide long non-coding RNA. RefSeq lists it as uncharacterized. The transcript has 2 exons. The record is from RefSeq and is a predicted model, not a curated record. NCBI's taxonomy places the organism in Eukaryota, Metazoa, Arthropoda, Insecta, Diptera, Culicidae.